This is a long non-coding RNA of Salvia miltiorrhiza (redroot sage), 647 nucleotides long. RefSeq lists it as uncharacterized. The record is from RefSeq and is a predicted model, not a curated record. NCBI's taxonomy places the organism in Eukaryota, Viridiplantae, Streptophyta, Magnoliopsida, Lamiales, Lamiaceae. The transcript is spliced from 2 exons.
AAUAUGGAGAUGAAGUAAAUCAUUCAUUUGUGCAAUGUGCUGUAAAAAAUAGAUCCAUGUAUAUAUGAUGUAUGUAUCGUUUUAUGGAUGUCAGGUCGAUGGAUUGGUGACUUUGAUGGAAGGUUUUAUUUUUCUGCAAAGUUGAGGUUGUGAAAGAAACCAUCAAUCGCCUCAAUAGAAUUCACACCAAACACUGCUAAUGAUCCUCACAAGAGGAAGCCAGAUAUAAGCAAAGCAAAGGAUCUUCUCAACUGGCAGCCCAAAGUUUAGUUACGAGAUGGAUUGCCUCAAAUGGUUGACGAUUUUAGAAACCGCAUCUUGAAUGAGGAUGAAGGAAAUGGAAACAAAUGAGUGGAUAUAGUGAUGCAGCAAAACCAGAUCUUCCACGACUACAUGAAUGACAUUUAGAUAUGGGCUUGAUCGAGACGUGGAUGGAAAAACUAGAGGAGUCUGAGACCAAGCAGAGAAACAUGAUCAAAACUUCCAUUGUCACUGUUUUCUUUAAUUGUAAAACACUUGAUCCUUUCACGUUCCAUCUUGUACAUGGUUAAAUUAGUACUAUAAAUUGUUGUUAUGUUGGAGAUUGAACAUAUGAUCUUUUGUUAGAAUUCUAUGAAUUAUUAUAAUAUGAGAUUAUUCGAGGUUUA